Molecule: small nucleolar RNA, 107 nt
Filed under: Olea europaea subsp. europaea
Lineage: Eukaryota; Viridiplantae; Streptophyta; Magnoliopsida; Lamiales; Oleaceae
Description: Plant small nucleolar RNA R71
Rfam family: Plant small nucleolar RNA R71
About the family: R71 is a member of the C/D box family of snoRNAs containing the C (UGAUGA) and D (CUGA) box motifs. Multiple nearly identical copies of this snoRNA have been identified in Arabidopsis, and it is thought to function as a 2'-O-ribose methylation guide for 18S ribosomal RNA.
Source: Rfam by way of RNAcentral
AUUCCAUGAUUUGGACACUUUAUCACAAGCUCUUUAAAUUUGUUCCAUACUUCAUGAUAGCUCUCCCCAACUCUCUGUUUGAAGGUUUGAAUUUUCAACCUAAUUUU